AGGGCACCACCAGGGGUGGAGCCUGCGGCUUAAUUUGACUCAACACGGGAAAACUUACCUGGUCCUGACACUAGAAGGAUUGACAGAUUGAUAGCUCUUUCUUGAUUUGGUGGAUGGUGGUGCAUGGCCGUUCUUAGUUGGUGGAGUGAUUUGUCUGGUUAAUUCCGAUAACGAACGAGACUCUAGCCUAUUAAAUAACACACAGAAUCUUGUCUUCUGUGGCGUUUCUUAAUGGGAUCAAGUGUGUUUAACGCUUUGAAACAGAGCAAUAACAGGUCUGUGAUGCCCUUAGAUGUUCGGGGCCGCACGCGCGCUACAUUGAGAGACAAAAUGAGUUUUCUAGCCUUUAAUAAGGCUAGUAAUCUUUGAAUGUUUUUCUUAAUGGGGAUAGGGGAUUGCAAUUGUGCCCCUUGAACGAGGAAUUCCCAGUAAGUGCUAGUCAUUAGCUAGUACUGAUUACGUCCCUGCCCUUUGUACACACCGCCCGUCGCUACUACCGAUUGAAUGGUUUAGUGAGAU
Molecule: ribosomal RNA, 519 nt
Filed under: uncultured eukaryote
Lineage: Eukaryota
Description: SSU rRNA
Rfam family: Eukaryotic small subunit ribosomal RNA
Source: RNAcentral